Molecule: ribosomal RNA, 467 nt
Filed under: uncultured bacterium
Lineage: Bacteria
Description: partial 16S ribosomal RNA
Rfam family: Bacterial small subunit ribosomal RNA
Source: RNAcentral
GACGAACGCUGGCGGCGUGCUUAACACAUGCAAGUCGAACGGAAAGGCCCUGCUUUUGUGGGGUGCUCGAGUGGCGAACGGGUGAGUAACACGUGAGUAACCUGCCCUUGACUUUGGGAUAACUUCAGGAAACUGGGGCUAAUACCGGAUAGGAGCUCCUGCUGCAUGGUGGGGGUUGGAAAGUUUCGGCGGUUGGGGAUGGACUCGCGGCUUAUCAGCUUGUUGGUGGGGUAGUGGCUUACCAAGGCUUUGACGGGUAGCCGGCCUGAGAGGGUGACCGGCCAAAAGGGGAAGAGGAAACGGCCGAGCAUACUACGGGGGGAGGGAGUGGGGAAUAUUACAGAAGGGGGGGAAAAAGGAUGCAGAAGCGCCGCGGGGGGGAUGACGGCCUUGGGGGUGUAAACCGCUUUGCCAGGUAACGAAGGGGGGAGGAGGGAAAUGGGUAAGGAAACACGGGAAAAAUAGGU